RNAcentral lists this ribosomal RNA (432 nucleotides) under uncultured bacterium. RNAcentral's name for it is "partial 16S ribosomal RNA". It matches the Rfam family "Bacterial small subunit ribosomal RNA", at positions 29 to 507 of the family's 1533-position model. The record is from RNAcentral.
ACGCACGCUGGCGGCAUGCCUAACACAUGCAAGUCGAACGAGACCUUCGGGUCUAGUGGCGCACGGGUGCGUAACGCGUGGGAACCUGCCCUUAGGUUCGGAAUAACUCCCCGAAAGGGGUGCUAAUACCGGAUAAUGUCUUCGGACCAAAGAUUUAUCGCCUUUGGAUGGGCCCGCGUUGGAUUAGCUAGUUGGUAGGGUAAAAGCCUACCAAGGCGACGAUCCAUAGCUGGUCUGAGAGGAUGAUCAGCCACACUGGGACUGAGACACGGCCCAGACUCCUACGGGAAGCAGCAGUGGGGAAUAUUGGACAAUGGGCGAAAGCCUGAUCCAGCAAUGCCGCGUGAGUGAUGAAGGCCUUAGGGUUGUAAAGCUCUUUUACCCGGGAUGAUAAUGACAGUACCGGGAGAAUAAGCUCCGGCUAACUCCGUG